Nematostella vectensis (starlet sea anemone) is the source of this 1742-nucleotide long non-coding RNA. RefSeq lists it as uncharacterized. Lineage: Eukaryota; Metazoa; Cnidaria; Anthozoa; Actiniaria; Edwardsiidae. The transcript has 2 exons. The record is from RefSeq and is a predicted model, not a curated record.
UUUUUGAUGGACCAUGUUUCUAUUUGUUAUGCACUAAAUUGAAUAUUCAAAUGCGCACUUUUAAAAAAUAUUUGGCACCUAAAGUAUCGCCAAACCAAUUAACUUGGUGCAAUACUGGUGAGCCUAUCUUUUAAGUAAAUAAUUUGUGAUACAAUAAUUAGGUUGGUUGACUCGAAACCAAUCUAGGAAUACAGCUGGGUAAACAAGCAAUUCCUAUAUUUCUUUUCUUUACUAACAAAUAGCUAUGCUUAUAUCAGCCAUUGCCGCUACACUACGACUUCCGACUUCGAUUGACAGGAUAGAAACAUAUUAUCAUCACAUCUAUUUUUGAUUCUUUAAUCUGACGAUUCAGGAUUGAUUUCCACCUAAGCAGUUGAGAGUCCAAGCUAGUCGGCUGGGUCUCCAGGGGAACGAACGGCGAAGCGCAAUAAGCCACGAGAUCUUUGGCAGCAUACACCGUUUGAUCAGAGAGCAAUGGAAAGCUGCAUGUCCCAAAAUGCUCCAAGAGUAAUCUGCCCACGAAAAAGAGCACGAGACUAGCAUGUUGUCAUUGAAACAAUGUGUUAAAAAAUGUAGCGUAUUUGGACACGUAUUUACGAGACAAAAGUUCAGUCACCUAAUAAAACUAUUACGGACAAUUACUAUUAGGGGCAAGGGCGUUGCCUCGGUGCUGGUGAAUGUCAAAGGCGUUGCCUCCAGCUGAUUCCACACACUUUCACCUACACAAGACACUUCAAAGCUUAACAAAACCAAGCGACACACUGUUGCUGACAUAGUGAAUAGCAAUUCGUCGCAGCUGAAAGGGACUACAUGGGGUUAUUUUUAACAUUACUAUAAAGGCAAUAGUUCAAAAGGACAAAGAGGCAAUUAGCUAACAAGAAUAGCAACUUUAAAACUCUUUGUGUUGCUAUGUUUAAAGAGCUUACUCGUAGCAGGUAUAGGAAUGCUUCACCUGUGUGUCACCUAACGGGUAAUUGUCGGCACAUAAGACCCAAUAAUUAAUGACCCUGCAAUGUUACAUGGCAAGAAUGACAAUGCUCUAUUAAUUUUGCUAUGAAUGCCUGUGAUAACUACCUUUCAAUAUCAAUCCCUCCUUUUUAGUUUAUUUUGCUCAGGGGGAGGUUAUCAAGGUGGUCCUCCAAACCUUUAUUCAUCUGCAUAAUAUUCUCUUUUUUAUUUUUUCACUGCCAAUGGCAUACACGUGGCAUUUUUUAACGACUGCUAAUUACUGGCAUUUACUGUUGCUUCCGAGAAAAAUCCAAUAUCGCUUUUGCCAAAAAGAAUUUUUUCUUAUACAGAACAUAAAAUGAAGUAGAUAAAGUAAAGUACCACUUAAACUUUUGGUUUGAGAGCAGAGAUAAUUCAAAAGAAUACACAUGGCAAUUUUGACGGGUAGCUUCCGGUGAUUGAAAUGUCAUUUAUUGCCGGGUUUAUUUAUCAUCCGUCAGCCCAAAAAAGCUUUUGACAGCCUUGAAAACUGCGUAAAACUGACUUUUCUUUAAUAAGGGUACUGAAAACUUUGGUAUACUUCGAACGCAGUUGUGUCGCAUAAUUUUACAGCCGCGUCCUUUUCGAGGGGUUUAUUUGAAUAUUGCUAGCAGUUAUUAGGUUUCUAGGCACCGAAAAAACUAGCAACAAAUGGCAAAUGCGCAGAAAAUGUCAUACAAAAACAAACUUAAAUAACACUAGUCCGUGAUUUACUUAAUUAUUAUUUUUUUGUGCGAAUUGCGAUCUCUAACAGC